UGGUCGCAAGCCAAACAAAAAAAAUAAGGGUAAAUAAAAAUAACGAAAGAAAUAGUUCAAAAAGUACGCGCGCUUGCAAAAGCUUUGAAAAGGUACAGCGAACCUUUUUCAGUGCUUGCAGCGCUGCAUUGAGAGCUUUCGGUGGGUGCCGAAAAGUUGUCGCGCACGCGCAACAGCUGAUCUUGUCGCGCUGUGCGAAUUCUGCAGCGACAAAUAUUAGUGCAGCCAACUUUAGGGGCAAUAAAACCUGUAAGCUUUUAUCUACCCAAAGCUAUAUAAGCCGAAAAAGUGCAAAAUUGAGCCCUUUUUCUAGAACUCCACGUUGCGACUUUACACUAAAUCCAUAUAUAUAUAUGUAUAUAAUAUAUAUACAUAUAUGGUGAGGAACUCGUGCGCUGCAAUAAUUAAUAAAGCGCAGCAACAAAUUUUUCUUGACGCCCGUGUCAAAUUUGGGCACGGCAAUAUAGAAAAGCCUGCCCUAGACACGGGCUCUGUUUUAAUUUUUUUGGCCCAUCAAGAUCGAUCGCAGCAACUUUAUCGAAAGGCUGGAGGAACUUCAACAGCAGGCGGGGGAAACACAAACGUGAAUCGUGGCUCAUAAAUUGCAUAGUGACAAUUAAACCUAUAAAACUUUUAACCCCAAAAACUCUAAGCCGCGAAAAUCUAAAAGUGGAAAAAAAAAAAACUACACACAGUCAAGAACAAAAACUCUAGUUCUACCAUAAUCAACUAAACGAAAAAAAAAAAAAGAACAAAAACCACACUUCAAUUACAUAUGUGACGUACACUGUAAAAAUUUUGCUACUAGCAACUAAAAUAGUUCACCAAAUUAAAAGAAGAAAAA
Long non-coding RNA from Drosophila mojavensis, 844 nucleotides. RefSeq lists it as uncharacterized. The record is from RefSeq and is a predicted model, not a curated record. The transcript has 2 exons. NCBI's taxonomy places the organism in Eukaryota, Metazoa, Arthropoda, Insecta, Diptera, Drosophilidae.